UACGUAAGGGGCGAGCGUUGUCCGGAUUCACUGGGCGUAAAGGGCGCGUAGGCGGUCUGUUAAGUCAGGGGUGAAAGCUCCAGGCUCAACCUGGAAAUUGCCUUUGAAACUGGCAGGCUUGAGUGCUCCAGGGGAAAGUGGAAUUCCUGGUGUAGCGGUGAAAUGCGUAGAUAUCAGGGAGAACACCGGUGGCGAAGGCGGCUUUCUGGGGAGCAACUGACGCUGAGGCGCGAAAGCUAGGGGAGCAAACAGG
This 253-nucleotide ribosomal RNA is filed under the name uncultured bacterium. Its description in RNAcentral is "partial 16S ribosomal RNA". It matches the Rfam family "Bacterial small subunit ribosomal RNA", at positions 524 to 776 of the family's 1533-position model. The record is from RNAcentral.